This 252-nucleotide ribosomal RNA is filed under the name uncultured bacterium. Its description in RNAcentral is "partial 16S ribosomal RNA". It matches the Rfam family "Bacterial small subunit ribosomal RNA", at positions 524 to 776 of the family's 1533-position model. The record is from RNAcentral.
UACGUAGGAGGCAAGCGUUGUCCGGAAUUACUGGGCGUAAAGCGCGUGUAGGUGGUGGGACAAGUCUGCUGUGAAAGCGCCUGGCUUAACCGGGCGAGGUCGGCGGAAACUGUCCGACUCGAGGACGGUAGAGGGGGUGGAAUUCCCGGUGUAGUGGUGAAAUGCGUAGAGAUCGGGAGGAACACCUGUGGCGAAGGCGGCCCCCUGGGCCGGCCCUGACACUGAGACGCGAAGGCGUGGGGAGCGAACGGG